UACGGGGGGGGGCAAGCGUUGUUCGGAAUUACUGGGCGUAAAGGGCUCGUAGGCGGCCAACUAAGUCGGAUGUGAAAUCCCCCAGGCUUAACCUGGGAACUGCAUCCGAUACUGGAUGGCUUGAAUCCGGGAGAGGGAUGCAGAAUUCCAGGUGUAGCGGUGAAAUGCGUAGGUAUCUGGAGGAAUACCGGUGGCGAAGGCGGCAUCCUGGACCGGCAUUGACGU
Molecule: ribosomal RNA, 225 nt
Filed under: uncultured bacterium
Lineage: Bacteria
Description: partial 16S ribosomal RNA
Rfam family: Bacterial small subunit ribosomal RNA
Source: RNAcentral